GGCUCAGGAUGAACGCUGGCGGCGUGCCUAACACAUGCAAGUCGAACGAAGCACUGUCGAUGGAGAUUCGUCAAAAUUGACUUUGACUUAGUGGCGGACGGGUGAGUAAUGCGUGAGCAACCUGCCUUUCAGAGGGGGACAACAGUUGGAAACGACUGCUAAUACCGCAUAAUGUAUUUAGGAGGCAUCUCCCGGAUACCAAAGGAGCAAUCCGCUGAAAGAUGGGCUCACGUCUGAUUAGCUAGUUGGUGAGGUAACGGCUCACCAAGGCUGCGAUCAGUAGCCGGACUGAGAGGUUGAACGGCCACAUUGGGACUGAGAUACGGCCCAGACUCCUACGGGAGGCAGCAGUGGGGAAUAUUGGGCAAUGGGCGAAAGCCUGACCCAGCAACGCCGCGUGAAGGAAGAAGGUCUUCGGAUUGUAAACUUCUUUUAUGAGGGACGAAGGACGUGACGGUACCUCAUGAAUAAGCCACGGCUAACUACGUGCC
RNAcentral lists this ribosomal RNA (491 nucleotides) under uncultured organism. Its description in RNAcentral is "SSU rRNA". It matches the Rfam family "Bacterial small subunit ribosomal RNA", at positions 21 to 509 of the family's 1533-position model. The record is from RNAcentral.